This 73-nucleotide transfer RNA is filed under the name Paramuricea clavata. It matches the Rfam family "tRNA". Rfam says of the family: Transfer RNA (tRNA) molecules are approximately 80 nucleotides in length. Their secondary structure includes four short double-helical elements and three loops (D, anti-codon, and T loops). Lineage: Eukaryota; Metazoa; Cnidaria; Anthozoa; Malacalcyonacea; Plexauridae. The record is from Rfam by way of RNAcentral.
GCCUCUUUAGCUCAGUUGGUUAGAGCACUGCACUGGAAUCGCAGGACCGCAGGUUCGAUUCCUGCCAGGGACC